RNAcentral lists this transfer-messenger RNA (351 nucleotides) under Bdellovibrionales. Its description in RNAcentral is "JAAOIH01 sp015163875 Standard tmRNA". It matches the Rfam family "transfer-messenger RNA". From Rfam's summary of the family: Bacterial tmRNA, also known as 10Sa RNA or SsrA, is named for its dual tRNA and mRNA-like properties. RNAcentral also lists the same sequence under 2 other names. The record is from RNAcentral. Lineage: Bacteria; Pseudomonadati; Bdellovibrionota; Bdellovibrionia.
GGGGGUGUCAUGGCUUCGACGCGGAUACAAAGUCUCAAGGAGCAUGCCGGGGUGCAGGACGGUCCUCGAUAAAAACCUGUAAUUUUUUUAGUUGGCAACGACUAUGCAAUUGCUGCCUAAUUGAAGGUAGCCGCCUUUAUGUUUUAUGACUGCGAAAAUAUAAAAGGCGUCAUUUAGCGGUCUCGAAAAAAAGUUGUUACCCUUAGGGCUUUUUUUUUAAACUUGCUGAGGAGAUAAUUUAAAAAAUUUUGUUUGUGGAAGUUUUUAAAUUUAAUAAAACAUAAACUAAGCAUGUAGCGCCUUUUGAUAGAAGAUUCACGGAAGCGGGUUCGAUUCCCGCCACCUCCACCA